RNAcentral lists this non-coding RNA (245 nucleotides) under Brevibacillus choshinensis. RNAcentral's name for it is "T-box sequence". It matches the Rfam family "T-box leader". Rfam says of the family: Uncharged tRNA acts as the effector for transcription antitermination of genes in the T-box leader family. T-boxes are found upstream of many aminoacyl-tRNA synthetase genes and some amino acid biosynthetic genes usually in Gram-positive bacteria. The anticodon of a specific tRNA base pairs to a specifier sequence within the T-box motif, and the NCCA acceptor tail of the tRNA base pairs to a conserved bulge in the T-box antiterminator hairpin. The record is from RNAcentral. Lineage: Bacteria; Bacillati; Bacillota; Bacilli; Caryophanales; Paenibacillaceae.
UCAAACGCAAAGAACGGGAGCUAGUAAAGCGAAUUUCUUGUCCAGAGAGCUGCGGGUAGGUGCGACGCAGUCAGGAAAUGCUUGAAUCUCACCCGGGAGCGGCAAGGUUGAGAGCCAUGGUAGACGAUGGACGGUAGACCUUGACGGAUCGUCUCACGUCAUCGGGGCAACGAGGUGGAUUCCCUCUACAAAAGGGGAUCAACGAGAGUGGUACCGCGGCAGCUGACAGGCCUGUCGUCUCUUGU